This 1290-nucleotide unclassified non-coding RNA is filed under the name Hevea brasiliensis (rubber tree). Lineage: Eukaryota; Viridiplantae; Streptophyta; Magnoliopsida; Malpighiales; Euphorbiaceae. The record is from RNAcentral.
ACCACUACGAAGCUUUCCUUUAUAUACAAGGCCAUAACCUCCUUCACCCAAUUUGUCUUUAAAACCUCUUGUAAUCCUUUUGAUAUCAAAGUAAGAAUAUCUAAUUGGUAAGAAAUUAUUGUGACCUUGAAGAAAUUCUUCAAUGUUAUCAUACAUUGAUAAAUGCCUUCUUUUCCAUUUGUAGAUCAAAAAAGAGAUAACACAUAGUGUCCCACAAAGGCAUAGUGCCACACGACAUAGCACAAAGGAAGCGAGUAAAUAAGGGAGCAACCCUAUGGCAUAAUAGGGUGCAUGGUGCAGACGCGAGCUGCCACUGGGCAACCUUUGCAAGUCCCUGAACAAAUCUUUGGCAUUCCGAAAUGUGCACCCAAUUCCGCACUCAUACUCAAGUCGAUGAAAUAGACUACAAAGUAUAUCACACACAUACUCAAGUUGAUUAAAUAGACCACAAAGUAUAUCCGAUGCCUGGCGUUUAAUGUCUUCCUCUAUGUUAUCAAAAAGGCCGCAAUAGACUAUGAAAUCAUCAUGUAGGUUGCAGAGGUUUUCCUUAUAGUUGUCACAGCAACCGUAAAACCAUGAAAGCUCAAAUCCGUAUGACAUAAUACGGUGAAGAUCCUUAAAUGAAAUGUUCUUCACUUCUUCCGGCAUUAUAGAUGUCAUAACUAUCUGCUCUAUUCGGCACGAGUCCGCCAAAUCCGAUAAAUUUGUGGACCCAACCAUUACAUACCAAUGACCAGAAUUAUUGAUGCAAGAAGAAGCAUCCACAUAGAGUGGAGAACUCUGUACUUGAUCUUCACAGUUUACGAAAAUUAAGCUCUGAUAGUAUUCCUUCUCAUAGGAGACUACUUGUGGCCAAUAGAAGAGUGGAGUUUCCCAAUAAUUGUUAUGGAAUGUAUUCAAAGAAUGGCGAGGGAUGGAGGAGCAAUUAUCCUUUUGGACACCGGCAUCCAUCACUCGAAUUGUGUAGUUAUUGUAAUUGAUAGACUCAACGUAAUAUUUUGCCGAAUCCAAGUAUGCUACUGGAAGGUUGUUUUCACAAGUAAGUUCAUACUCUUUGUGGCCGCAGCUUUCAGGAUCGGUUUUCAAUCGAAAAGGGUAGCUAAUGUUGUGGAUAUUGCCACAAGAUGUGGUGCAGUUGUUGUUUGUUCUAGCGUAGCAACCUUGCAGAAUUAGCACCAGAAAAAGAAGAGCUGCAUAUCCAACAAAAAGGAUCCUUCGACUGCAAAUCAUUCUGUGAGCUAAGAGAAAGGAAGAGAGAGACGAUCAACCAGUGACACAGAGAUCACUUAC